This 350-nucleotide ribosomal RNA is filed under the name uncultured bacterium. RNAcentral's name for it is "bacterial SSU rRNA". It matches the Rfam family "Bacterial small subunit ribosomal RNA", at positions 8 to 350 of the family's 1533-position model. The record is from RNAcentral.
AGAGUUUGAUCAUGGCUCAGGAUGAACGCUAGCUACAGGCUUAACACAUGCAAGUCGAGGGGAAACGACAUCGAAAGCUUGCUUUUGAUGGGCGUCGACCGGCGCACGGGUGAGUAACGCGUAUCCAACCUGCCCACCACUUGGGGAUAACCUUGCGAAAGUAAGACUAAUACCCAAUGAUAUCUCUAGAAGACAUCUGAAAGAGAUUAAAGAUUUAUCGGUGAUGGAUGGGGAUGCGCCUGAUUAGCUUGUUGCGGGGUAACGGCCACCAAGGCGACGAUCAGUAAGGGUUCUGAGAGGAAGGUCCCCACAUUGGAACUGAGACACGGUCCAAACUCCUACGGGAGCGA